GAUCUAUACUUAGAAUAUAAGAAGCUUAGUUUAAAGAAUAAAAAGCUAAAUCAGAAAAAUCUAUCUCUUGCUGAAAGCUAUGAUAUAACUCAGAAAAAUAAUAAAUUACUUUCAGAAGACAAUGAAAGGCUAACUAAAGAAGUUAACAAAUUUAAGCCUAUAGUUGAAAAAUUUACUAUCAGCUCUGAAAAACUGAACUUAAUGAUAAAUAAUCAAAGAGCUGAAUUUGAAAAGGCUGGAUUAGGAUAUCAAUCUUGGUACACACAAAAAUCCCUUAAUGACAUAUGUAUUAAAUCCUCCACUAUCUAUCAUAAAACGAAUUCUAAUUUAUCUGAUGAACCUAAUGAACAAAAAUAGAAAAUUAAAAAUCCAUCAUCUACUUAUAUUAAAUCAAUGUUUGUUAAAUUUAAUAAGAGUAUGCAAAAAUACAUUUCUUAUAAUC
RNAcentral lists this long non-coding RNA (442 nucleotides) under Phoenix dactylifera (date palm). Its description in RNAcentral is "long non-coding RNA (PDAC_LNC000873)". Lineage: Eukaryota; Viridiplantae; Streptophyta; Magnoliopsida; Arecales; Arecaceae. The record is from RNAcentral.